CCUACGGGAGGCAGCAGUGAGGAAUAUUGGUCAAUGGGCUUACGCCUGAACCAGCCAAGUCGCGUGAGGGAAGACUGCCCUAUGGGUUGUAAACCUCUUUUGUCAGGGAGCAAUUGGCGCUACGUGUAGCGUUAUCGAGAGUACCUGAAGAAAAAGCAUCGGCUAACUCCGUGCCAGCAGCCGCGGUAAUACGGAGGAUGCGAGCGUUAUCCGGAUUUAUUGGGUUUAACGGGUGCGUAGGCGGAAUGCCAAGUCAGCGGUAAAAUCGCGGGGCUAAACCUCGCUCCGCCGUUGAAACUGGCGGUCUUGAGUGGGCGAGAGGUAUGCGGAAUGCGUGGUGUAGCGGUGAAAUGCAUAGAUAUCACGCAGAACUCCGAUUGCGAAGGCAGCAUACCGGCGCCCAACUGACGCUGAAGCACGAAAGCGUGGGUAUCGAACAGGAUUAGAUACCCUUGUAGUC
RNAcentral lists this ribosomal RNA (460 nucleotides) under uncultured bacterium. Its description in RNAcentral is "partial 16S ribosomal RNA". It matches the Rfam family "Bacterial small subunit ribosomal RNA", at positions 338 to 795 of the family's 1533-position model. The record is from RNAcentral.